GGAGGAAUACCCAAGUUGGCCGAAGGGGGCAGUUUGCUAAACUGCUAGUGGGGCGUGUGCUCCAGCGAGGGUUCGAAUCCCUCUUCCUCCGCCA
RNAcentral lists this transfer RNA (94 nucleotides) under Bacillota bacterium. RNAcentral describes it as "Firmicutes bacterium (anaerobic digester metagenome) tRNA-Ser". It matches the Rfam family "tRNA". Rfam says of the family: Transfer RNA (tRNA) molecules are approximately 80 nucleotides in length. Their secondary structure includes four short double-helical elements and three loops (D, anti-codon, and T loops). The record is from RNAcentral. Lineage: Bacteria; Bacillati; Bacillota.